CACAAUAUAUAUGGCUCAAGUGAGCAAAGCAAAAAUGACAUAAACAUAAACAAUUUAAAUGAUAUGAGUAGAAAAUGAUAAAAGGCUUGAAUUUAAAGUGUAUAAAAGUAAAUGACUUGAAAUUAAAAGUUAGUCAAAUGUUAGUUGAUUAGAAGUUAGUGGAGUUUUACUUUUUAUUGUUUAAGUUAUUCUUUGGAGAACACUCAAACCUCUACUCACAAGCAUGAAUCAUU
This 233-nucleotide long non-coding RNA is filed under the name Lathyrus oleraceus (garden pea). RNAcentral describes it as "Pisum sativum (pea) long non-coding RNA (PSAT_LNC015538)". Lineage: Eukaryota; Viridiplantae; Streptophyta; Magnoliopsida; Fabales; Fabaceae. The record is from RNAcentral.